AGUGAACGCUGGCGGCGUGCCUAAUACAUGCAAGUCGAACGGAGAUUAAGUAGCUUGCUAUUUAAUCUUAGUGGCGCACGGGUGAGUAAUAUAUAGCUAACUUGCCCAUUACUAAGGGACAACAGUUGGAAACGACUGCUAAUACCUUAUACUCCGUAUCUAUAUAAGUAGAUACGGGAAAGUUUUUCGGUAAUGGAUAGGGCUAUAUCGUAUCAGCUAGUUGGUAAGGUAAUGGCUUACCAAGGCUAUGACGCGUAACUGGUCUGAGAGGAUGAUCAGUCACACGGGAACUGAGACACGGUACAGACUCCUACGGGAGGCAGCAGUAGGGAAUAUUGCUCAAUGGGGGAAACCCUGAAGCAGCAACGCCGCGUGGAGGAGGACACUUUUCGGAGCGUAAACUCCUUUUAUUGGGAAAGAAUUAUGACGGUACCCAAGGAAUAAGCACCGGCUAACUCCGUG
Molecule: ribosomal RNA, 462 nt
Filed under: uncultured bacterium
Lineage: Bacteria
Description: partial 16S ribosomal RNA
Rfam family: Bacterial small subunit ribosomal RNA
Source: RNAcentral